UCAAGUUAGUAAGGGCGUACGGUGGAUGCCUAGGCGCCAGGAGCCGAAGAAGGACGUAGAAAGCUGCGAAAAGCCACGGUGAGCCGCAAGCAGGCGUAGACCCGUGGGUGUCCGAAUGGGGGAACCCGGCGGGGUUAAUACCCCGUCACCCUGUGCUGAACCCAUAGGCACAGAGGAGGCAACCCGGGGAACUGAAACAUCUAAGUACCCGGAGGAAAAGAAAACAACAGUGAUUCCGUAAGUAGCGGCGAGCGAACGCGGAGGAGCCCAAACCCUCCUGGAGGUUAGAGGUUAGAAGUUAGAGGUUAGAUUAAGAAGGAAUUGGCGGAAGCGAAUUCCAACACAAUCCAACUUCCAACAUCUAAUUUCCAACCUCUAGGAGGGGGUAGCGGGACUCUCGUUAAGGCUAAGGAACCUAGCCGAACCGUCUGGAAAGGCGGAGCACAGAAGGUGACACUCCUGUAGGCGAAAGGGGAAAUAGCUGAGAGAGGAUCCCAAGUACCACGGGACACGGGGAAUCCCGUGGGAAUCAGGGAGGACCACCUCCUAAGGCUAAAUACUCCCUGGCGACCGAUAGUGAACAAGUACCGUGAGGGAAAGGUGAAAAGCACCCCGGGAGGGGAGUGAAAGAGAACCUGAAACCGUAUGCUUACAAGCAGUCGGAGCGCCAUAAGAGCGUGACGGCGUGCCUUUUGUAGAAUGAACCGGCGAGUUACGGUAGCUAGCGAGGUUAAGUACUUAAGGUACGGAGCCGCAGGGAAACCGAGUCUGAAAAGGGCGUUAAGUUAGUUGCCGUAGACCCGAAACCGGGUGAUCUACCCAUGUCCAGGGUGAAGCUAAGGUAAGACUUGGUGGAGGCCCGAACCGACCGACGUUGAAAAGUCGGCGGAUGAGGUGUGGGUAGGGGUGAAAUGCCAAUCGAACUCGGAGAUAGCUGGUUCUCCCCGAAAUAGCUUUAGGGCUAGCCUUAAGGGAUGGUUUAUGGAGGUAGAGCACUGAAUGGGCUAGGGGCCCUACCAGGUUACCGAACCCUAUCAAACUCCGAAUGCCAUAAACUUACCUUAGGAGUCAGACUACGAGUGCUAAGAUCCGUAGUCGAGAGGGAAACAGCCCAGACCGUCAGCUAAGGUCCCAAAGUCCGUGCUAAGUGGAAAAGGAUGUGGGAUUGCACAGACAACCAGGAUGUUGGCUUAGAAGCAGCCAUCAUUUAAAGAGUGCGUAAUAGCUCACUGGUCGAGUGGCCCUGCGCCGAAAAUGAACCGGGGCUAAGCACGGCACCGAAGCUACGGCUUACUGGAGGUUAGAUGUUAGAGGUUAGAAGUUGGAACCGAGGUGAGUGGAGAUGAUACAAAGCUAUCGAGACCUUGAAAUAUAUAAGAGGUCAUACGAGUUAGCAUUAGAUGUACAUCGACUAACAUUCACCUUGCCAGAAACAGAAAAGUAUGAGUUAAGCAGUCAGAUUAGGAGGGCAGCAGUGUCCAUACCGUUAAAUAUAGCGGAGGGAUACGGGCGCAAAGACUCAAAAGCAGAAUUCAAGCACUUUUUAAGAAAUGCAUUGGGGUCAUGCAAUGAGAUGCGAGUUCUAAUCGACAUGUGUAAGGACUUAGGAUAUUUUGAAGAAAAAGUAUAUCUAAGUUUAGCUGAAGAGUACGAAGUACUUGGUAAGCAAAUAAAUAAACUCAUACGGACCUGGAAAUAGUCCAACAUCCAACUUCCAACAUCUAACCUCCAGUAGGGGUAGGGGAGCGUUCUGUACACGUCGAAGGUAUACCGUGAGGAGUGCUGGAGAGUACAGAAGAGAGAAUGCCGGUAUGAGUAAGCGAGAAGGCAGGUGAGAAUCCUGCCCGCCGGAAGCCUAAGGAUUCCUGGGGAAGGCUCGUCCGCCCAGGGUAAGCCGGGACCUAAGCCGAGGCCUAAGGGCGUAGGUGAUGGGAAAUCGGUUGAGAAUCCGAUGCCACCCACAGCCGUUUGAGGAAGGGAUGACACAGGAGGGUAGGCUAAGCCAGCGGAUGGAAGAGCUGGUCCAAGCGAGUAGGGCGUGUGGUAGGCAAAUCCGCCACACAUAGAGCCUGAGACGUGAAGGGGAACGAAAUUAGAGUAGUGAAGUAGCUGAUCCCACACUGUCGAGAAAAGUCUCUAACGAGGCGAGUGGGUGCCCGUACCGCAAACCGACACAGGUAGGUAGGGAGAGAAUCCUAAGGCGCGCGAGAGAACCCUUGUUAAGGAACUCGGCAAAAUGACCCCGUAACUUCGGGAGAAGGGGUACCUCAGUAUUGUGAAGGUAGAGCAACCGGAGCAAGAAGAGGUCGCAGAGGAGAGGCCCAAGCGACUGUUUACCAAAAACACAGGUGCCUGCUAAGUGGAAACACGACGUAUAGGUGCUGACGCCUGCCCGGUGCUGGAAGGUUAAGAGGAGGGGUUAGCCUGAGAGGGCGAAGCUCUGAAUUGAAGCCCCAGUAAACGGCGGCCGUAACUAUAACGGUCCUAAGGUAGCGAAAUUCCUUGUCGGGUAAGUUCCGACCCGCACGAAAGGCGUAACGAUUUGGGCACUGUCUCAACAAGGGGCUCGGUGAAAUUGUAAUACCCGUGAAGAUGCGGGUUACCUGCGACAGGACAGAAAGACCCCGUGGAGCUUUACUGUAGCCUGACAUUGGAUUUUGGUACGUCAUGUACAGGAUAGGUGGGAGACAGAGAGGCAUGGACGCCAGUCUGUGCGGAGUCGUCGGUGGGAUACCACCCUUGAGGUAUUGAAGUUCUAACCCACGUCCGUAAGCCGGAUGGGGGACAGUGUCAGGUGGGCAGUUUGACUGGGGCGGUCGCCUCCCAAAGAGUAACGGAGGCGCCCAAAGGUUCCCUCAGACUGGUUGGAAAUCAGUCGUAGAGUGUAAAGGCAGAAGGGAGCUUGACUGCGAGACCGACGGGUCGAGCAGGGACGAAAGUCGGGCUUAGUGAUCCGGUGGUUCCGAGUGGAAGGGCCAUCGCUCAACGGAUAAAAGCUACCCCGGGGAUAACAGGCUUAUCUCCCCCAAGAGUCCACAUCGACGGGGAGGUUUGGCACCUCGAUGUCGGCUUAUCGCAUCCUGGGGCUGAAGUAGGUCCCAAGGGUUGGGCUGUUCGCCCAUUAAAGCGGUACAUGAGCUGGGUUCAGAACGUCGUGAGACAGUUCGGUCCCUAUCCGUCGCAGGCGCAGGAAACUUGAGAGGAGCUGUCCCUAGUACGAGAGGACCGGGAUGGACAGACCGCUGGUGCACCAGUUGUCUCGCCAGAGGCACAGCUGGGUAGCUAUGUCUGGAGCGGAUAAGCGCUGAAAGCAUCUAAGCGCGAAACCGACCUCAAGAUAAGGUUUCCCAUGGAGUUAAUCCAGUAAGACCCCUGGCAGACUACCAGGUAGAUAGGCCGGGAGUGUAAGUACAGUAAUGUAUUGAGCUAACCGGUACUAAUAGGUCGAGGACUUGACC
This is a ribosomal RNA of 3458 nucleotides. It matches the Rfam family "Bacterial large subunit ribosomal RNA".